GCCCAAGGUAAGGAAUAACGUCGAGAAAUCGGCGCUAAUACCUCAUAAUGCAGCGGAUCCGCAUGGAUAUGUUGUUAAAGGUUUACCGCCUUGGGAUAGGCUUGCGUCUGAUUAGCUAGUUGGUGUGGUAAUGGCACACCAAGGCUACGAUCAGUAACUGGUCUGAGAGGAUGAUCAGUCACACUGGAACUGAGACACGGUCCAGACUCCUACGGGAGGCAGCAGUGAGGAAUAUUGGGCAAUGCACGAAAGUGUGACCCAGCAACGCCGCGUGGAGGAUGAAGGUAUUCUAUAUCGUAAACUCCUGUGAGAGCAGACGAAAGACAGAUUAUUAAUUUGGAUGACUGUAUGCUCAGAGGAAGCCCCGGCUAACUACGUG
Molecule: ribosomal RNA, 379 nt
Filed under: uncultured bacterium
Lineage: Bacteria
Description: bacterial SSU rRNA
Rfam family: Bacterial small subunit ribosomal RNA
Source: RNAcentral